CCUUGAGGCGAAUGAUGAUAUAUUAUGGGAAUAUGAUGGUCUUCUUGAUGCUUAUCAAGG
RNAcentral lists this small RNA (60 nucleotides) under Salix viminalis (osier). The record is from RNAcentral. Lineage: Eukaryota; Viridiplantae; Streptophyta; Magnoliopsida; Malpighiales; Salicaceae.